UGCGCAGGCGGUUAUGUAAGACAGUGGUGAAAGCCCAUCGCUCAACGAUGGAACUGCCAUUGAUACUGUAAGACUUGAAUUUUUGUGAAGUAACUAGAAUAUGUAGUGUAGCGGUGAAAUGCUUAGAUAUUACAUGGAAUACCAAUUGCGAAGGCAGGUUACUAACAAACGAUUGACGCUGAUGGACGAAAGCGUGGGGAGCGAACAGGAUUAGAUACCCUUGUA
This 225-nucleotide ribosomal RNA is filed under the name uncultured Flavobacterium sp. RNAcentral describes it as "partial 16S ribosomal RNA". It matches the Rfam family "Bacterial small subunit ribosomal RNA", at positions 568 to 792 of the family's 1533-position model. Lineage: Bacteria; Pseudomonadati; Bacteroidota; Flavobacteriia; Flavobacteriales; Flavobacteriaceae. The record is from RNAcentral.